GUCCAAGCGGGCUUGCUCGCGAAGGCGCCGGGUCAGUCAGCAUUGAAGUUGACUGACCUACCGCUUUCGCGAGCAAGCUCGCUCCCAC
RNAcentral lists this unclassified non-coding RNA (88 nucleotides) under Pseudomonas thivervalensis. The record is from RNAcentral. Lineage: Bacteria; Pseudomonadati; Pseudomonadota; Gammaproteobacteria; Pseudomonadales; Pseudomonadaceae.